GAUCAUGGCUCAGGAUGAACGCUAGCUACAGGCUUAACACAUGCAAGUCGAGGGGCAGCAUUUUAGUUUGCUUGCAAACUGAAGAUGGCGACCGGCGCACGGGUGAGUAACACGUAUCCAACCUGCCGAUAACUCCGGAAUAGCCUUUCGAAAGAAAGAUUAAUACCGGAUGGCAUACGAAUAUCGCAUGAUAUUUUUAUUAAAGAAUUUCGGUUAUCGAGUGGGGUAGGUGUCGGUUCCCUACUUUAAG
This 250-nucleotide ribosomal RNA is filed under the name uncultured bacterium. RNAcentral describes it as "partial 16S ribosomal RNA". It matches the Rfam family "Bacterial small subunit ribosomal RNA", at positions 15 to 255 of the family's 1533-position model. The record is from RNAcentral.